UUCUGCAACAGAUUAACAUGGCAAACCUCUGGGAAGUCAUCCCCAUGGAAGCUGCUGUUGGUGAAAAAAAAUGGAAAAUCUCCAGGAUGUGUUUGCAUAGGAAGGAAAUUAAUGAGAAACUACACUUCUGAAGUUAUGAAAGCUGCAUUAAUGGAUCAGUGCACCUAAACAAGAGGAGACCCCCUAUGGAACAAAGAAGACGUAAGAAUUCUGGUAUAGUUUCCUAGCUAGGAGACAGAGCCGUGAAUCAAAACUCCCAGCUGAAAUCCCAUUUCUGCCCAAAUUCAAUGGAUGGCCUUGGACAAGUCUCUCAACAUUAGACCACCUUCUGCUCCAAGGAAGAUAAUCUCUCUCUUUCUCUCUCCACUCCCAUGUGUAUCCUGCCUUUCCCUCACAAAAAUACAGCUAUGUC
Pogona vitticeps (central bearded dragon) is the source of this 412-nucleotide non-coding RNA. NCBI's taxonomy places the organism in Eukaryota, Metazoa, Chordata, Lepidosauria, Squamata, Agamidae. The record is from RefSeq and is a predicted model, not a curated record.